Anastrepha ludens (Mexican fruit fly) is the source of this 503-nucleotide long non-coding RNA. RefSeq lists it as uncharacterized. The transcript is spliced from 2 exons. NCBI's taxonomy places the organism in Eukaryota, Metazoa, Arthropoda, Insecta, Diptera, Tephritidae. The record is from RefSeq and is a predicted model, not a curated record.
AUAAAAGUCGCCACAUUUCCCACAGUUCAUUGAAGAUUUAGUAUGUAGCAAGGCAUAUCUAUACAAGGUAGUAUCAUUAGAAGAGCUAAUUAAUUCGCCUUGAGCGAAUUGGCAUUUCUGUCAAAAAUUUGUGCCAAGGCGAAUUUGCUUUGUUUACAUAUUUCUUUGUUUCUACAUUGUUACUCAAAGUAUUUGUAGCAGUUAUAUUGAAACACAAAAAAUAAAGAUUAACCGUACAUAAUAUCAUAGUAUUAUUGCAUUGUUGAAUGCAAAUAUGGUGAAAUGUGUAUUGUGCGCAAAGGGAUGAUCUCGGUAUGGUAGACGCUUAUGCUGCAGAAGGCGAUGUGCUUGUUUUCCUAUACUAAAAUAUGAACAGCAGGCUGAGCCUCUUGUCCAGUGAAGGUUAUGGAUUUCAUUAGUCCCAAUACGUUUGAAUAAAACGCAAGUCCUUUGGUGUGUAGUGGCUUCAAUUGGGGGGUUACAUUACAAAUGAAUAAACGGAA